RNAcentral lists this ribosomal RNA (744 nucleotides) under Salmonella enterica subsp. enterica serovar Agona. RNAcentral describes it as "partial 23S ribosomal RNA". It matches the Rfam family "Bacterial large subunit ribosomal RNA", at positions 583 to 1247 of the family's 2925-position model. The record is from RNAcentral. Lineage: Bacteria; Pseudomonadati; Pseudomonadota; Gammaproteobacteria; Enterobacterales; Enterobacteriaceae.
CUUUGGGGUGUGACUGCGUACCUUUUGUAUAAUGGGUCAGCGACUUAUAUUCUGUAGCAAGGUUAACCGAAUAGGGGAGCCGGAGGGAAACCGAGUCUUAAUUGGGCGUUAAGUUGCAGGGUAUAGACCCGAAACCCGGUGAUCUAGCCAUGGGCAGGUUGAAGGUUGGGUAACACUAACUGGAGGACCGAACCGACUAAUGUUGAAAAAUUAGCGGAUGACCUGUGGCUGGGGGUGAAAGGCCAAUCAAACCGGGAGAUAGCUGGUUCUCCCCGAAAGCUAUUUAGGUAGCGCCUCGUGAAUUCAUCUCCGGGGGUAGAGCACUGUUUCGGCUAGGGGGCCAUCCCGGCUUACCAACCCGAUGCAAACUGCGAAUACCGGAGAAUGUUAUCACGGGAGACACACGGCGGGUGCUAACGUCCGUCGUGAAGAGGGAAACAACCCAGACCGCCAGCUAAGGUCCCAAAGUCAUGGUUAAGUGGGAAACGAUGUGGGAAGGCCCAGACAGCCAGGAUGUUGGCUUAGAAGCAGCCAUCAUUUAAAGAAAGCGUAAUAGCUCACUGGUCGAGUCGGCCUGCGCGGAAGAUGUAACGGGGCUAAACCAUGCACCGAAGCUGCGGCAGCGAACGUAUCACUUAAAGCGAUUCAGCGGGUUACGAUUGACGGAGCGAAGCGACGUCAAAGCGUAUACAAAGUCGAGUCGGUUUAAGGAUACGUUCGUUGGGUAGGGGAGCGUUCUGUAAG